AGUUAGUCCAUAAUUGAAUAAUAUUUGUCACAAACAAACGAAAGUGCUACAGUACCGAAAUCCGAAAUCUUUUCGAAACUAAACAAGGCCAUAGCAAAUGUAUGCUCCACAGUCACUGAUCUAUGCUACAUGCACACCUACAAAUGCAUCUAGAAAAUCUAACACCAUCGAAACAGAUGCACCAGGUCACCUCUAUAUUCUCACUAGAUCACCUCUAUAUUUUCUCUCUUUACUCAACCACAUGCAACGGCCAACUUUCAAUGUGUCUAGUCCUCCCGCGGCUCACGUCCUCCUCCCACAGCCAGCCCCCCACGCCCACGCUAAGUAGUCUAGGCUCCAUCCUUGGGUUGUCCCUUUUUUUAAAAAAAAAAUAUAAAACAUCAUCAUGUCCUCUUGCCUCCCCAUCCCGUACUCCCAU
Molecule: long non-coding RNA, 418 nt
Filed under: Sorghum bicolor (sorghum)
Lineage: Eukaryota; Viridiplantae; Streptophyta; Magnoliopsida; Poales; Poaceae
Description: long non-coding RNA (SBIC_LNC005487)
Source: RNAcentral